Molecule: ribosomal RNA, 850 nt
Filed under: Actinomadura sp.
Lineage: Bacteria; Bacillati; Actinomycetota; Actinomycetes; Streptosporangiales; Thermomonosporaceae
Description: bacterial SSU rRNA
Rfam family: Bacterial small subunit ribosomal RNA
Source: RNAcentral
GUACUCGAGCGGCGACGGGUGAGUAACACGUGAGCAACCUGCCCCCGACUCUGGGAUAAGCCCGGGAAACUGGGUCUAAUACCGGAUGUGACCAUCUGCGGCAUCGCAUGGUGGUGGAAAGUUUUUCGGUUGGGGAUGGGCUCGCGGCCUAUCAGCUUGUUGGUGGGGUAAUGGCCUACCAAGGCGACGACGGGUAACCGGCCUGAGAGGGCGACCGGUCACACUGGGACUGAGACACGGCCCAGACUCCUACGGGAGGCAGCAGUGGGGAAUAUUGCGCAAUGGGCGGAAGCCUGACGCAGCGACGCCGCGUGGGGGAUGACGGCCUUCGGGUUGUAAACCUCUUUCAGCAGGGACGAAGCUAACGUGACGGUACCUGCAGAAGAAGCGCCGGCUAACUACGUGCCAGCAGCCGCGGUAAUACGUAGGGCGCAAGCGUUGUCCGGAAUUAUUGGGCGUAAAGAGCUCGUAGGCGGUUUGUCGCGUCUGUCGUGAAAGCCCACAGCUUAACUGUGGGUCUGCGGUGGAUACGGGCAGACUAGAGGCAGGUAGGGGAGAAUGGAAUUCCCGGUGUAGCGGUGAAAUGCGCAGAUAUCGGGAGGAACACCGGUGGCGAAGGCGGUUCUCUGGGCCUGUACUGACGCUGAGGAGCGAAAGCGUGGGGAGCGAACAGGAUUAGAUACCCUGGUAGUCCACGCCGUAAACGGUGGGCGCUAGGUGUGGGGUCCUUCCACGGAUUCCGCGCCGUAGCUAACGCAUUAAGCGCCCCGCCUGGGGGAGUACGGCGCAAGGCUAAAACUCAAGGAUUGACGGGGGCCCGCACAGCGGCGGAGCAUGUGCUCUCGACGCA